Molecule: long non-coding RNA, 32515 nt
Filed under: Lynx pardinus (Iberian lynx)
Lineage: Eukaryota; Metazoa; Chordata; Mammalia; Carnivora; Felidae
Rfam family: tRNA (bases 4041-4125)
Source: RNAcentral
CUCAGUUCAAACACUUCUGUUAAGUCUUCCCAGUCAAUCUUCUCUGCAGGUACAAUUAAUUGCUUAUUCCUUCUUUUGAGCUCCUAGAGCAACUAAUUAUACAUACUUCAGUAGAACUUAUCAUAUUGUAUUAUGAUUGUUUUUGAUUACAUAUCUUUCUUCAAAACUAGCCUGAAAGGUCAUGAGCUGGGACCAAUAUUUUAUUCAGUGUCAUUCCCCUUUAACUAGUAUAGUAACUGGCACAUAGUAAACUACCCUUAAAUGUUUAUCCAUUCGACUCUUUAUUAUGUGUCGUACUAUGUGCCAGAGGUUACAUCUUAGCUGGGGGACACAAGAAAAAACAUUUAUACAGGUAAGUGAAUAAAAUCAUUGCAGAUAAUUCUUAGUGAUAUAAAGACAAUAAAACCAGGGGAGGACAUAGAGGGAACUGGGAACAUGGUAAAACUACUUUACCUUACAUGGUCACAGAAGGUCUCUGAGGAAGUGACAUUUGGGCUGAUACAUAAAUGAUAAAAAUGGAGCAUCCAUAAAGACUUCUUGGCGGAAGACCCUUUUAGGCAGAAAGAAUAAGAAAUACAAAAGCCCUGAGGUGAAAUCAAGCUUAAACCAAGGAAAGGACAAAUAUUGAGCAAUUGCGUAUCUAGCAGAGAAGAGUGCCUGGGAAAUCUUCACAGAGCUGAAGUUUGAGGAAAUCAGUAGGUGUUAUUCUGUCAGAGAAGUCAGAGGGAAAAUAUUCCAGGCAGAGGGAACUAUAUAUGGCAAGGAGAAAUAUACAGUCAAAGGGGAGAGUGGUAGGAGAUGAUGUUACAGAGGUAGGCAGAAGCCAAAUAAUGUAAGUCUGUGGACCUUCGAAAAUAGCUUGGAUUUUAUUCUGAUGGCAAAAGAAAGUCAUUAAAGUCAAAAAUCAAUAUGCCAUAUGCUGUGUGAAGACCACUAUGGGUCCUGAGUAACAGAUAGAUGGGAGGGUGGGGCAAGCGUGGAAGCCCUGAGACCAGUUGGAAGACUGUUACAGUGGACUGGAUGGGAGAUAAAGGAGAUUUGGACCAGAGUUCUCAGUGGAAUGGAUGCAGUUUUCACCUUCAGGCUAUAUUGAAGGUGUCACAGGUAGGUCUUGAAUAUGAGACAUGAGGAGCACAGGGUCAAAGAUGAGUGCUACUUUUUCUGGCCUGGGUGUGUCAUGGGACCAUUUACUAAGAUGAGGAGGAGAAGUACAUUCGAGCAGGGAGAAUGGGAAGCAGAGAAAGGCCAGGAAUCAGUAGUUCCACUGUGGGAAUAUUAAGUUUAAGAUGUCUGUUAGAUAUCCAAGAAGAGAUGUCAGGUACAUGAUUGUAUAUGCGAGUUGGGAACUCAGAGGAAAGGUCAAAACUGGAUAUACUUGGGAGUCAGAAGCAUAUGGCAGGUCUCCAAGACCAUAGACCUGGAUGAGAUCACUGCAGAGAAAAAAAAAAGAGGAUGGGGAACAAUGGAGAUUGAAAAAGAACUAUUGUGAGAAGAUAAAAUCAGGAGGCUGUGAUACCAGGGAAGCCUGGAGAAGGAAAUAUUUCAACAAAGAAUAAUUGAGAGAUCAGGAGCACCUGGGUGGGUCAGUCAGUUAAGUGUCUGACUUGGGCUCUGGUCAUGAUCUGGUGGUUGGUGAGUUCAAGCCUCGCGUCAGGCUCUGUGCUGACAGCUUAGAGACUGGAGCCUGCUUCUGCUUAUGUCUCUUACUCUCUGCCCCUCCCCCUUUCUCUCAAAAAUAAAUAAACAUUAAAAAAAUUUUUUUUAAUUGAGAGAUCAAAUGAUGGGUGGAAAGCUGGCCUCUAAGAACCUUGCCAAAUGAAAUUAUUUGGUGACAUUCAUAAAAUCCGUUUUGGUGGAGUGAUACUCACAAAAGCCUGAUCAUAGUGGAUUGAGCAGUGAUGGUAAAGGAGAAAGAAGGAGGCAAGUAACGUGGGCAACUUCAAAAUUUUGUCCUGAAGAUGACUGAAGAAAUCUAUGGUAGCUAGAGAUGGCUUGAAGUCAAAGAUUUGUUUUCAUCAUUUAUUUUAACAUAGGUGACAUUAAAACACGCUUGUCAGCAGAUGGAAAUAACCCAGCCAUGAGGAAGAAAGUGAAAGAAAAUGAGAUAACUGGGAGCCAAGAUCUUUGUUAAGUUACGAAUGAAUUAAUGAAUGAAUGAAUGAAUAAGUGAGGUGAUAGAUGUGUUAAUUAACUAGGUGGUGGGAAUCUUUCACGGUGUAUAUGUAUAUCAAAUAACUACCAUGCACACUUUAAAUAUAUUACAGUAUUAUUUGUCAUUUAUAUCACAAUAAAGCUGAAAAAAUUUUAUUAAAUCUGGUAACUACUCCUUUAAAAAAACUUUUAAUAAAGAAAGCAGAAACUGAAGGAUACUUAACUUACAUAAGAAAAAAAUGAAUGGAGAAAACCCAUCAAAUAUAUAUCCCUUAAACAAAAUACAGUGAUUCUUUUUUCUGCUAUUUUCCAACUCUUUUGUCUCAGGCAUAAUUGUAAAAAUCACCAUAAUGUUACAGAUAUUUAAAAAUAUACAAUCUCUAAUUAGUAUAUCUAUCAUUCUCAUCUCAAUUUGCUGUCAGUAUUUCCCUGUUGGCAUUGACUGAAACGCUAUGAAUUGUUGGCAUUCACUAAAAUGCUAAUGGUGCUGAUUGAAAAAGUCCAUCUUCAAACAUGACCCUGGAAACCAAGAGAGUAUUUGAAAAAAUUAUAUUAAUAUAACUCAAUUUUAUUUUAUUAUUUAAAAGUUUAUUAACAUACUAAAUGUGAAAAAAAUGGCUACCUUCUAUUUGAUUUAUGAACAUAUCAGCCAAAAAAUAUCCUUGUUAAAAUGAGGAAAUGAACUGAGAGCAAAAAAUGAGGGCUUGGCCUUAGACAGAGGGGACAUUUAUUUCAUCGUAAGAGGAAGGGAAGAAGAGUACAUAGGUACUCAUAUAGGUACGAUGAUAAUUUUGGUGGUGGAAAACCAAAAUAAAAUAAGUGAAGGGGUGAAAAAAUGGUAGAGUCUGCUUAAGACUUGAGGAUUGAUUGGAUGUUAGGAAUGGAAGAGGGCUGAAAAGCACUGGAAGGCGUCCAGAAUUAUAGCUAAAUGAGGGCCAGGGGCAGGUGCUGACAACAGCACCAAUCUCUUUGUUCAUUUAUUCACUCAUUUACUCACUCACUCAACAAGAGGCAGCAUGAACAAAAUGGACACCGAAAGAACUUUCACUUGAGUUUACAUACUAGUUCUUGAGCACUCCAUUUUCAAUGAGACGUUACCAGUAAACAUAUAACUAAAUGUUGUUCUAUGGUCAUUGGUGCUUUAAGGUUCUCCAUUGUUAUACUUUUCUUGUACAUUUUAUCUUUAUAAAAUGCUUUUAUUUAUUCCACUUAAUGUUUUUGCCCUGUGAAUUCUUCCUUGCCUAGUACUUCUUUAGCCACUCUUGCUUUGAUAUAUAGAUUUUACAUAUCUUAUGCUUGCUAAUCUUGUAAUGUUGUACCUUUUUGUUUCUACGUUUCCCUGACCUUGUAUUUAUCCUUUAACAUGCAGUUGGUUUAUUGACUUUUAUCUUUAAAAAUUUGCAAAGCAGAUAACAUUAGUGUUAAACUAUUUUAGUAUACUCAUGAUUCUUAAAACUAUGGAAAUUAAAUUAUAAAAAUGGAAAACUUCAACAUUCAAUUCAGUAAAAUUUUAACAUUUAAUUGCCCGAUCAUUUACAAGUAAGAUAAAACUAUCCACAGCACAACAUUACGCUAUUUUCUACCCCAAAUUCACCAUUUGUAACUUUCACAGAGUGCUUCCACAGAGUUGAAAUGAUUUCAAAAUAAAUCAUAAAUAAAUUAGAAAAUUGUGAAUAGUAAUAGUGCCUGCUUCGUAGGGUUUUAGGAGGACUGAGUGAUUUGAAAUGAUUAUGUAAAGUGCUUAGAAUAGUGCCUGGUAUACAUAAACCAUUAUAUAAAUAUUAAUCAUCAUUCAAAAUUGAUUUUCAUUCUAUCUGCUCUGAUUCGUUUUUAUAGUGUAACUCCCUGAGGGCAACCAUGCUUCUCUUAUUUAAUAGCUGUUGGGGGGCGCCUGGGUGGCUCAGUCGGUUAAGCGUCUGACUUCGGCUCAGGUCAUGAUCUCACGGUCUGUGAGUUCAAGCCCCGCGUCGGGCUCUGUGCUAACAGCUCAGAGCCUGGAGCCUGUUUCAGAUUCUGUGUCUCCCUCUCUCUCUACCCCUCCCCUGUUCAUGCUCUGUCUUUGUCUGUCCCAAAAAUAAAUAAACGUUAAAAAAAAAUUUAAUAGCUCUUGGGAGAACUAUGUAUAAGAUGAAUAUUACAUAUGUAAUGUAUAUAAUAUAUUUACUACAUAUGUAAUAUACAUCCAUAUUAUGUAAUACAUAUGUAAUCUGUUUCAGGAUCUAGUCCAGGGUAGCACAUGCUAUUUAGUUGUCAUGUCUUCUUAGUCUCCUCCUAUCUGCAACAAUGCUUUAGUCUGUCCUUGGUUUUCAUGAUCUUGAUAAUUUUGAAGAGUGCCAGUCAGGUAUUCUGUAGAAUGUCCCUCAAUUGAGGUUUGUCUGAUGUUUUCUUAUGAUUAGACAAGGAUUAUACAUUUGGGAAAGAAUUCCACGGGGUGAAGUGCCAUUGUCACUGCAUCGUAUCAGAGUGUGCGUGAUGUCCACGUGACAACGCUGAUGAUAGUAGUCUUGAUCACUCUGUUAAGGUCGUGUCUGCCAGUUUUCUCUGCUAUGCGGUUACUACUAUUUUUUUCUUUCCAUAUUGCUUUUUCCUUUCCAUACGUUGAAAGCAAGUCAGUAAGUCCAGCUCAUACCCAAGGGUCAAGGAAUAAGAAGGAUUUCUCCCUUAGCCUCAAAUUUAUUUACUUAUUCAAUCAUGUAUUUUUAUCAGUAUGGACUUAUAGAUAUUUAUGUUAUUCUUUGAAUUACAAACCAAUACUACCAUUAUUUAUUUUGUUGCUCAAAUUUUUCCAGCUGUGGCUAUUGGGAGUUCUUUUGGGCUAACUCAUUGUCUUUCUGACAUACUCCCAAUCUUUUUUUGUUUUUAACCAUUUUUUGAAAGCAUAAUAAAUGAUGAUGCACACUAAAAUGUGUUAUAUACAAAUUACAUACAUUGACAUCUUCUAGAACUUUAAUUUGUAGCGGCAGUUACCUUCAUUAUGGCAUUCUGCAAUAAAUGCUUCCUGAGGGGCACGUGGGUGGCUAAGUAGGUUAAGCGACUGAGUCUAGAUUUCAGCUCAGGUCAUGACCUCACAGUUCUGUGACAUCAAGUCCCACAUCCAGCUGUGCAUUGACAGUCUGCAGCCAGUUUGGGAUUCUCUCUCUCUCUCUCUGUCUGCCCCUCUCCAGCUCACACUCUCUCCCUCCCUCUCAAAAUAUAAAUAAAUAAAUACAUACAUACAUACAUACAUACAUACAUACUUCCUGAUAUCACUGUUUUUAGUUAAACUUUUGUUUUGGAAAAUGAGGUUCCUUGACAUUUUUCAUGUAUUUUUCCAGUACCAAAAGAAAAAAAAAAAAGAACUUGGAAAUGACUGGUAGAAUGUUGAGUGAUCCCUGUGCUUUUUCACUGUCUGCUUCUCAUUCUCCUAAGAAGGGAGAGACCUAUUAAGAGUCCUUUAAUGAUCUUGUUUUCCUAUUAAAAAUAAUAGUACAGUAAAUAGAUCUGCUUAGAUAGAGUGAGGAGGGACCUGGUGUUGCUUUAGAAAUUCUAGAAUAGCAUUGCCAAGUACUCUCAUAAUGCCUUUCCAAAUGUUUGUCUGAGGGGUUCCUGCAGAGACUCUUCCGAGCCAUCAGACAUUCAUGAACAUGACUCUACUGGCAGUAAGGCAAUUUUCUGGAGAGAAAUGUGAAUAUGAUGAAGAUCUUUGUAUCAUCUACAAGUUAGUUCAGAAAGAAGCCAGGAAGCUGAGCUGGAAGAGGGACAAAUGAGUUUAUUUAGAAUCUUACAGAAUUAAGUGGAUUUGUAGUUUUAACAUACUUAAAAAAAAAAAAACUAGCCGUAUAAAGUACCUACGUGGUACUAGCCAUUAGAACAGACACUUUUACCUUUCUUGUAAUCUUAGAGGUUAAACCUUUACCCAAGGUCAUUUCUUUAAGGAUUUUGGCUGCAAGUAACAGAAAAUCCAAAGCCAAAGUGGCAUAUAUAGGAGUGUAAAAGGGAGCUGAUAUGUUUCAAGUUAUGCAUGGCCUUGAUCUUAUGGCCCAAGAUGGCAGCAUAUGUGUUCUAAGCAGGAAAAAGUUAGAAAAUGCCAAAGCGGGCACACAUUCUGCACUUUGGGAAGACUCCCAGAAGCUUCCCCUUGACACUUCUUUUCCCCAUUGGUCAGAACUUAGGCAUGUAGCCAUAUCUAGCUGCAGAUUACUCUGGAAAUGUAGAAGUCCUUUUUCUAAGUGGCUUUGCAUCAAGCCAUGUUUUCCAAGUCUACAAAAGGGGAAGACAGAUAUUAGGGACAAUUAGAAGUCUCCACAACAGUCAUGAGUGACAAAGAUGGGAUUUGAACUCAGAUACGUCUUACCUUCGUGUUCUUUCUAAACCAGAUUUGUUCAUUGGAGAAAGAUCUAGAAAAUGUGUUGAAUUGGCCCCACUUUUAGCACUAUCAAGUUAACUGAAAGAAAGGAACAUGCCUGUGACAGAGGAUGCAGAGAAGCUAAAGACCUGUGCACUAGAUUUCAAAGCUCCCUUUACCUGGGGACUUUACCAAGAGCAAUCUUGAUAAAUCUUCGGGUCUUCCUGGAAGGGAGGAACAAUACUUUGAGAACCAACUGUCCAUAAUUCUGGACUAGACCUGUACUGUCUGAUACAGUAGCCACGAGCUAUAUGUGGCUACUGAACACUUGAAAUGUGACUAGUUAGAGUUGACAUGUACUCUAAGUUUAAAAUAUGUGCUGUAUUUUAAAGACUUAGUACAAACAAAAAAUGAAAUGAAGCUUAAUAAUUUAUAUAUCGAUUACAUGUUCAGAGUAUAACAUUUUUGAUAUGUUGGGUUAGAUAAAAUAUGUUCUUAAUUUCAAGUUGCUUUUUACUUUUUUAAAUGUAACUAUUAAAUUUAAAAUUACAUAUGUGAUUCACAUUUGUAGAUUGCAUUAUGUGUCCAUUGGAAACCAAUUUGUCUAGGAGACAAAGAAUUGUCCUACAAAAAUCCUAUCAUUGAAACAGUUUUUCAAAAUGCUCAUAGGAUCUGUAAGAAGUUACCUCUGAGUAUUCUGAAAAAAAGGAUGGGGCAAAUAAAGGACUCCAUAUUCUUUCUGGGGUCUUUCUCUGAGCUUCAAUGAAAUGUGAAUGAUAUUGACUAUCCUCUGGGUAACUUGUAUGGAUUCACUCCAACACUUGGAUUGUACUGAGCCUCUCCAGCCCACAUUUCUGAGGCAUACGGCCAUCAUUGUUAUUAGAUGAGGUGAUUUAUUGAGAUUACUUUUUGAAAGCACCUCUGUUUGAUUUAUUCACAUCCAUGAGGGGAAAUACUUCUGGUAUAGACAUAGUAAUAACAUCUGGUCAACACAGCCUACUUGAAGAACCUCUUGAUUUCUUAAAGAUUAUUGAAAUAGAGUUCUCAAGCAUAUUUGCAAGUUAUGUAGUAACAUAGUAAGUCUUUGGCUGGCUCAGAAAAUUUGAUUUCAUUAAAGCAAAUAGGUGCUCUCUUGUUAUCCUUUUAUCUAUCUUUAGCUUCAAGUUUCCUUUAGCAGUGAUUGAUCUAGAUUUCCCAGUUGAAAGUUUAGUGUUAUAUAUGUUAGAAAAAGGAAGGAGGAUUUGAGGAGUUCUGCAUUUUUUGGUCUCUUAAUAUCUUAUCAUAUAUUGUCAGCAGUGAGUAUGUCUGUUCCUUGUUCUUCUACUCUGAAAAUGUUUUAUAUACAUAUACACAUUCUUACUUUAAAUAUUAUAUAUAUAUAUAUGUAGGUAGACAAAUAGAUAGAACCAAUUUUUAUGUUCUUAGCAUUUUUAUCCAAUUCAUCUCAUUCCAGAUUUCAAAUAUUCUAUUUGUCCAGUCUACAAAUGUAAUUAUCUUUUAUUAACUUCCCAUUAUUCAGCACCUGCAUUGUUCAUUUGAACUAUCUGCAAGUUACACUGAUACCAAGUUAAAAUAAUGCAUAAUCUAUAGCUUUUAAAAUAAACCUUUGAAAAAAGGAUUUUAAACGGCUUUCUUGCUUAACAAAUACUGUCCUUGAUGGCAAAAAAUUUAAAAGUGUGUUAAUGAUAAGAGUGAGUAAAAGGAAAUAGUGGCAGUGAAGAGAGGCAGUUGUAGCCUACUCUAAGUGGGUUAGUUAAAAAAAGAGUACCUAGGGGCGCCUGGGUGGCUCAGUCGGUUAAGCGUCCGACUUCGGCUCAGGUCACGAUCUCACGGUCCGUGAGUUCGAGCCCCGCGUCGGGCUCUGGGCUGAUGGCUCAGAGCCUGGAGCCUGUUUCCGAUUCUGUGUCUCCCUCUCUCUCUGCCCCUCCCCCAUUCAUGCUCUGUCUCUGUCUCAAAAAUAAAUAAAAACGUUAAAAAAAAAAAAUUAAAAAAAAAAAAAGAGUACCUAAGUGGUUGUCUUUUAGGUAAUUUAAGAUAUUUAAUUUUUGUAGACCACUAUCGUUUCAUCGUUCUCCAAUUCUUCUCUUCUGAGAACAGCACCAUUUAUUUUGGGACACUUGUCUGCUUUGCACUCCAACCCUCUGGUUGUGGUAUGAACGGCCAACUGUAGUACCCAAAGCAAUGGCCAUAAAAAUGACCACAUGAUGCCGAUGAGAACUUUCCCUAGGACUUUUCUGAUUAGAAUGAAGGGAAACGAGUCUGUUCUUCUGGGAAGAAUACAAAGGUAAAUGGGGUGUGCCUCACCAUGUGAUAGGUUUGAAAGCAUACCACUGACAUGCAAAGAGGAGCAGAUGCCUGGAGUUCUCUGGGUGCUUGUGUAUCUCGUUUCAUUAAUAUCGAAGGCACAGAUACAUCCCACCCUUAACGACUAUUCAGUUAUAGGAACCUAUAAAUUCCCCUUUGCCUAGGUAAAUUUGAGUUGUGUUUGUCACUUGAGGACCAAAAAAGCCCUGGCUAAUACAUUAUCCUUUUGGUAGCCAGCCUACAAGAUGACCCCCAAUGAUCCUAAACUCUAGGAGUCACACCCUUGUGUAGUAUCCUCAUAGACCGAAUAGAAAUAUGAUUGAUAAGGUAUAGUGUGCAUGAUGGUGUGUGGCUUCGAUAGCUACAGAAAGUAUUGAGACUUCUAUCUUGGUCUUUUUGAUUCCUUGCCAAGAAGGAAGGCAGCCGUCAUGUUGUAAGAUCACUUAAGUAGUCUCAAGAAGAGGCCUACAUGGAGAAGAACUAAGGCCACUUGCCAACAGCCAGUGCCAACCUGUCAGCAUGUGAACGAGCCACCUUCAAAGCAGUUCCUGCAGCCCCAAAAUAGUCUUUAGAUGACCGCAACCUCAUGAGAGACCUGAUUUAAAACCACUUACCAAGGGGCGCCUGGGUGGCUCAGUCAGUUGUAUGUCGGACUCCUGAUUUCAGCUCAGGUCAUGAUCCCAGGGUCAUGGGAUCAAAUCCCAUGUCAGGCUCUGAGCUGAGUGUGGAGCCUGCUUGGGAUUCUCUCUCUCUCUCUCUCUCUCUCUCUGUCUCUCUCCCCCUCUCCCCCUGGCCCUCCCCUGCUCAUGUUCUCUGUCUCUCUCUCAAAAUAAAUAAAUAAACAUUAAAAAAAAAAAAAACCUACCUAGCAAGCCACCCAAAUCCCAGAACCACAAGAACUGUAAGAGACUUGUUUUGAGCCACUUGUUUUGGGGUAAUUUGUUGCCCUAAGCAAAUAUAUUAUCUAUAUACCAACAGAUAAUUCAGACAGCAUUGUGGGGAUAUUGUAAAGAAGAGAGAGAAGCCUCAUACAGUGAUAUGGUUCUUCUCCAGAGAGAUGGUCAAUGACUAAGUUGGCAGCCAUAGAUACUCAGUAUUCAUUUGCUAUAUACUUUACAUACUUACCUGGGUUAUAUACAUUAGCACAAACCAUCAUAGAUGCUAAUAUCUCGAUAUAGAAGAAAAAAAGCAAAUCAACUUAUUUGAAUUCCACUUUAGAAUCUGUUAGUUUAAAUAAGAUUCUAUAUUGAGGCUUACUUAAACAUAUUAAAUCUUGGUCGCUGUUACUCAUAGAAAAAUAAAUAUUAACUUGUAGAUAUUUAAACACAUUUUCCCACUGGUUAAUACAAUAAAGGUAAGUCUUUCUUUCAGACAAAUGAAUAAUUGAGGACUUCUGCUACUAUCAUCUAAAGAGGACUCUAAUCCUUGGAUUUUCUCAUCGACUUCUAUAUCAGAAUAUUGGAUUUUUAACUUCAUGUAGAAUAAUAUGCAAAUACAAUACAAUUUUUUGGUUUUUGUUGUGUUUUUAAGCUUGGUAAAUAGCAUUGCAUUUUUACUCUUUUUUUUCUACUUUCAUUUUGUAAGUUUUCUAGUUUUGACAAUUAUUACAUACUUUAAAAGAAUAGACUCUAGUUCCACUUCCUGUUCAGAUGAUAACUAAGCAAAUGGCUGCAGGUGGUUUUUCCGUUGGCCUCAAUGUGAAGCAGAGGUUGAGAACCAACAGAUCUGUUUGUUUGUGGCCCCAGGAUUAACUGUGGUAUAACUCCACAUGCCUUCUCUGCAUUUAUUUCCCUCAUUUGUCAGAUAAGUGCCUCAAACAUGUACAAUCCUAAAAUUGUAUAAAAUUGGGAAUGUCACCAAAUAUUGAGGCUUCAAUUAUCCAACUUGUAUACUGAUAAGUCAAAAAAAAAUCAUCAACAUUUGUAUGUGUAAGGCAAUAGGUCUUUAGUCACAUUUGUGUUCUUGAUACCUGGAGUUGCAUUUUUUUAGAUUUUGUUUAUUUUUAAGUAAUACACCCAACGGGGGGCUCAAACUCAUUACCCCAAGAUCAAGAGUCACACGCUUCUCUGACUGAGACAGCCAGGAGCCCCUGGAGUUGUAUUUUGUAUAAUUAAUUUCACUGUUAGAAAUAUUUUGAAAAGGAAACAUUAUCAAUAGGGCAAAAUUAAUGUUUUAAAAUGCUGUCAUGAAAAAGUACAUAGAAGCCAAAAGUACAUAGAAUGAGUCAUAAUUAUAAAAAUGAUAGUACUUUAUAUUUGAAAAACCCAAUAUUUUCAAGAAAUUAUGGUUUAAAUUAUAACUGAUUACAUAUUAAAUAAUACGUGUGAAUAAUCUAAUGGGAUAAUGUUUUUUCUUUAUGUUCUCCCUAAUUCCUUGAUUGUACAAUGCAAAGUUUCUGGAGCACUUGAUCUUCAUAAUAGUAUAGUUUGGUAUCUUUAAUAUAGUUUAAAUAUUUGUAUAACAGACACUUUAUGUAACUCUCAGCCAACAUAUUAUUUUUGAAGCUGCUGAAAAAUCCUUCUCUAAACCAGUAAUGAAAGAUUAAGUCGCUACCAGUAGAGUUUUACUGUUCAGUGUUUGAUGCAGACAGGAACUAAUGUUUAUCUAGUUACAAUGAUCCUGAUGCAUUGUGUGUAUUUCAGUGGAUUCAUACAUCAAACCUAUGAAGGAGCUACCAUAAUCCCCAUUUUUUUUAAUGUUUAUUCAUUUUUGAGAGAGAAGGACAAAGCGUGAGUGAGUGAGGGGCAGAGAGAGGGAGACAGAAUUGGAAGCAGUCUCCAGGCUCCGAGCAAGCUGUCAGCACAGAGCCCAAUGCAGGAUUCAAACUCACCAACCGCAAGACCCUGAGCAAAAGUCGAUGCUUAACCCAUUGAGCCACCCAGGUGCCCCAUACCCAUUUUCAAAACAAAGAAAGAAAAGCAAAAGAAGGUAACUGGCACAUUUUGACAUGGCGAUAAAGAGGCAGAACUGGUGUUUGAACAUCUCUAAAACUAGCUUUCAAACAUUUUGUUAAGCUAUGGAAUCUGUUCUUGAGGCAACAGUUUCUAUGCAUGUGAAAAAUAUCAAACAGAUAAACUGGAUGCUCUGGUUGAGCAGCUGGUUUUGCUGCUUCCCUUCUCUCCCUGCCUCUCACCCUCCGCUGCCCUGUAACAUCCCCAGUUUGGAAACUGUUCGGUUAUGCUGUUAUGCCUUCUUAUUUGACUUUUUCUAAAAUUAACAAUCCUCAGUGUCCCAAAACGUUCUCUCCUAACAAGAAUAUUGGACAAGCAGAGCAACACAUUUAUGCAAGGUGCUAUUUGUCAAGCUUUAGAUAUUAUUAUUCAAGGUAGAUAUGAUGACGGUGAUGAUGAUAAUGGUGAUGAUAGAGUUCACUUUAUAUAAAAAGUGUGCAUUUGUUUAGUUUCAGAGUUAAAUAGUAACAUGUGUGCAGACCUUUUAAGGCACAUAGCCAGUUGCAUUCCUCUCUCUUCAGAAAAGCAUCAGAGUAAUUCCUCGUGAGAGGUUCCCUAAGGUGCAUGAACCAUGUGUUUUUGCCGGGUACCCUGCUUAUUCAACAGGGAUUGGCAUGACCUAAAGACUAAUGGCCUAUGAUGAAGUGUGGCACAAAAGGAGUGCCCUUUCUUCUCUCUUACUGAGUUUGAGUCUGAAACAUCCCGGGAGUGUCAGCACUGGGUAAAUGCAGAAGUGGAAAGAAGGAAGACAGGAAAGAGAAGCCAUGAGUAAGCAAAGCCAUGAGGGAGAGAGAAAGUGAGUGGAGUGUAGUCAGUGGCAAUAGAUGGAAAAUAAGCAGGUAGACAGAAACAGAGACAGAAGAGCUGAAUCAUGUGCCUGGCAAGAAGCCAAGAGUUCCUGUGAGGUCACCAAAGGGUAGCUUGUACUAUUAGACGAGAGAGCUAGUACUCAGUUACUGCUGAGUGGCUGUGACAAAAAUCUAGUUUUCCACAAGUCUGCCAAGGAGACCCUUACCUAUCUUUUCUACUUCUCCCUAUCAUAUCCUUUUUAAUAAACCCACAUUAAUUGAGCCAAGUGAUCGUUUCUCUGUUCUUUGCACCUCCAAAGAAUCUAAUUAACAUAAUAGCGAAAGCCUACACAGCUCCUAAAACAAAACAGGAGCUCCGUAGAUUGUAGCGAUUAUUAUUUUAGAAGAGAUCAUUCAAGCAAAGGCAGAAACUGCACACUAACACUCAAGUCUGGGAGUCAUGGUUGGUUUGGAUUUGUAGUCUGGUAGCUUUUUUCCCCUCUUGCUUUAAAGGUGUUUGUUGUUGUUGUUUUGUUUGUUUCUUUGUUUUGUUUUUUUAAUUCUAGGAGAGGGCCCAAAUUAGAUAAGUUAGGUGUGGAAAUAAAACAUGUGUUCUAACAAUUUGGGAGAGAUGGAUGAAUCUUUUGGGAUAUGAGGUUUCACAAAAUAUUUCAAAUUAUUUUUCAAAUAUUAUCUGCUUGGCAAAAACAAAAUGAUUUUUUAAAAGAAUUUCUCUUUUCAACAUUCAAAUGGUCUCAAGGGACAUGCACAUAUUUCUAAUUCGUUUUAGUUAACUCAGUACUGUUUAAUAGGAAUUGAUUGAUGUUUAAAAAUUCAGUAAGUUUUUUAACGAAGAGGUGUUUUCGGACAGUGAAACUGCCUUCUCAAAAAAGAGUUGACUUAGAUGUUUUCUUAAAAGGGUCUCAGAGCUCAGACUCAAACCUUACCAAAUAUUUUUCCUUCCUUUGUAUAACAGAAAAAAGUAAUCUCUGAAAAAUCUUUCUUCCAGUUAUGAACAAAAAGGCAGUAAUUGAAUUCCAGAAAAUUAAUAGGCAAUAGGAAAGAAACCAAACAUAUUCUCAAUCUAGGUGUUAAAAGGAAAGGGAAAAAAGAGAAGAACAGAGAGAGAAAGAGGAAGAGAAGGAAAAAGGCCUACUGAGAUGAUAAAGGAUUAUAGGUUUGUGAACUAAAUGACUUGUAAUCAACAACCCACAUUUUGCUAUGGAAUGCAGUAAGUCUCAGAACUACCAGGAGAGCUCAGCUGGUGUAAAAUUACACUUGAACUCUGUUCCCUUGGUACCUUAUUUUUCUCCCAUUAUAAUAGUCAUCAGGCUUUAUUGAAAUCACUUCAUAAUUGACUGUCUUUCCUCUGCACUGUAAAUUGUGUAAGGGUAGAGUCCAUUUCUGUUUGUUCCCCAUUAUUCCCACCACCCAGCAUAAUACAGGUGUUCAAACUAUUCGUUGAAUAAAACAUUAUUAUGUCCAAGGGCUAAAAACACAAGCUCCGGAAUCAAAUUCAGUCAUUUUCAACAUCUAAAGAACAGAUACAGUACCAGUGCCUGCCUCUCUGACUUGUCAUGAGGAUUAUGAGAGGAAAUAUGUGUAUGGCUCCCAAUAUGGUGCGUGGCAUAUUGUUAGUGCUCAAAAGAUGUUUGCUGUAAAAAUAAUCACUAGUAUUUCCCAUGGCAAUGAAUCUAAGCAUUAUUCUUCGAAAAAAAAGUUUCUAUAAAAGCCAAGUAAAGUUAGAUUUUUUUUAAAACACACAUUGUGAGUUAGUCAUGCACACUUUAUUAGCACAGCUUAAAGCGUUACUGGUGAUGCUCUCUUCAAAUUUCUUUUAUCUCCAAUUGGCUGGUUGGCCAUUCUCACCAUUAGUGAGUCAUUUGAGCUUACUCAUUUCUGGCUAAAUUCAGUUGGAUGAAGCGUGGCAAUUCUAGAUUCUUCCAGCCUAAUAAUUAUGUCAAUUGUCUAAAAGGAUGACCAUGAUUUAAUGGUUACAUAAUCAAGAAUUCCUAGAGUAAGAUUUUUUCUUUUUCCAACACUGGCAUGACUCUGAUCCUGAACACAGUGUACUUGGGUCACUCCAGAGAUGUGGCCACCACCCAAAUGUCCCUUGGACAGAUGACACAGGGAUUGAAAGGCCAUCAACAACUGGCCUGUAAGUCCAGGAAUAACAUUAGGUUUUAACUGAACCCAAUCACGUGGCUGGAAGACAAUAAUAAGAUAUUAUUAUUUAAGACAUAUUAUAUGUAAAUUUCUAAAACAUGGAAUCUGAAAAAAAAAAAAAAAUCAUUGGACCUGAGAUUAAACCCAGUUCUGCCUUGGGACGCCUGGGUGGCUCAGUCAGUUAAGUGUACAACUUUGGCCCACUGUUUUUCGAGCCCCACAUCGGGUUCUCUGCCAAGCCCGCUUCGGAUCCUCUGACCCUCUCUCUCUCUCUCUCUGCCCCUCCCCCAUCCACGGUCCCUUUCUCUCUCUUUCUCUCUCUCUCUCAAAAUAAAUAAACUUUAAAAAAAGUUUUAAAAAACACCAGUCAUGCCUUGCAUUCAAUGCAAAGAGUCUAUGCUUUGCUGCCCUCCUAGUACUUGCAUACGGGAUUUAUAAGAUAGAAACCAUUAUGUGGAUGGGGUCUUUUGUUUCACAGCUGGGUUGUAUACUUUAUGGAAAUGGGAGUAUUGCCAGUCUUAUUCAUUGUUCUAUCUUUUCCAUUCAAUCCAAUGCCUGGCAUAAAGUAAUGCACAAUAAAUGUGUAUGAAAUGAAUAGAUACAUGCCCCCUUCUCUCUGAUGGCCUCUGGGAAAUGCAGUGAGUAGAUAUCAGUAAUUAGUCAAACAUAUAUCAUCGGCUACUGUUUUCAUUAAGGUCUUCAAUCUGCAAGCAGUACAGGAAAUUACUACGUUAGGAGCAGGACUAGCCUUUUGAUGGGAGCAUGAUCUGAGGGCUGCUGGGAUGCUCCCCCAGUCUCCCUACCAUAGCUCUUGCACAUACAUACACUUUAAAAUGCUCUCCAUUCACUAGUCAUACUGUCUAACUUGCACCACUUUAAAAACCGCUCCAUUGAGUAAAUAAAUGUUCAUUUAAGGAAGGUGAUAAGGAGAAAGUACCUUACUGCAUAGUUAUCCUUAGUGGGGGAAUAACUCUAAUAAAGGGGGUUGUGUCUGCUGGAGUCUGCAAGGAAAGCCAAAGAACAUGAUUCUAGAAGGUGGGGUGAUGAUUGUGCACCAGUGGAUGACAUGAGGACUGGACCACAGUGACUGAGCUCUUCACUCAGCGGCUUUAUAGACAAGACAGUUGAGCCCACUUCUGCCAGAUUGAAAAGCCAGGCCUCGGAGUACUCCACUAUGGAACAGAUGCUGGCAAGCUGUUAGCAUGGGUCUGCUCUUAGGUUCGGAAUUCUGGGAGAUUAGGAACCACAUCUGACCUGCUCACUGGCACACUGAGCAUCUAACUCAGUCAUACCUGCACACAGUAGGUGCUUAGUAAAUAUCUGUAGCUUGAAUAAGUAAGGCGUGUUUUGUUUUAAGGAUUUCAUUUCCUAAUCAGUCUGGGAAAAAAAUGCAUGUAAGUAAAGAAACCCCCAAAUUGGCAGCUAUAAAGAUUGCAAAGCCUUACAAGAGAAAUUCUUAUUCCUAAUUUCCUUUGCAUUUUAUUUCUAUUUUUAUAAGUCAUGCAUGGUUUUAUUAAUUUAUAAGUAAGAAAUAUAUUUCUAAAAUCGAAAAAUAAUUUAAAACUUUUAUUUCACCACCUACUAUUUUUCACCACUAAUAGUUCACUGAACAGCCUUCACACAUACGCAAACAUACGUUUCCUGUAACAGAAACAGUAUCAUACAAUUCUACAGUCCACUGUUUUCAUUUAAUGAUAUAUUGGGAAUACAUUAUAAGAAAUAAUACUUCUAUGUCACCUUUCUUACUAGCUAUGUGACAUUCUUAACGGGCCAUACUAUCGUCUAUACUAGCAAUGUCCUACAAUCUAUUUUUUGCUUGUACAACUAUGCUAAAUAUCUAUCUUGUUUUUAAACAUUGAACAAGGUUUUACUGAAUGCUAAGGUUAACCAGAGAGAACAAUAGAGAAAGCAGUUCAAACCUGGAUACUAGAGCUGGUAACUCUCAGAGUCCACAGGCCCAAAGCCCUUUGCAGGGUUCCCCCAAGGGCCUGGAGGCCAUCUCUUCCCUUAAUCAUAGACUGCUGCCCCACUGUAGAGUUUCCUUACCUCUAUCCACCUUUUGAUUUAUCUUUAGAAUAGACCUCUGCAGCUUAUUUUUUUGGGGAGUCUCAUUAUCCAUUGUCCACCUCCAUUUCCACUCUCCCUUUUUCUUCAUUCCCAGUCAGAAUAUGUAACCCUAGCAGGACAGAACAGUUUUCAUCAAUUCAAGAAGAAAAUUUACAUGUCAGGGUGACCUACCAGUUAACAACCAGCUUAUUGCCUUCUGCCCAGCUUUUUAAGGCUUAUACUCUUAGGUGAUGAAAGAGAGUUUCCUGGUGCCUCUUAAAUCACUUUUCAAUGUCCUUAACCACCCCCAUAUCUCCUCAGCCAAUAUCCUGAGUGAAUCUUGCAUGGGCACAGGCCAUGCCACAGUAACCCUGUGCCACUCCUGUUCUGCAUGCCUGAGUCACCACCACAAAACUUUCUCUCUGUAGGUCCCACAUUACCUGCUGAUGGGCCCCACGCCAACAUGCUGAUGUUUUUCUAACUUUAGGAAUGCCACAGGCCAUGUCUCCACGGAACAGAGAGAAAAAAUUAUUCAAUUCAACAACUAUCUUUUGAACACCAGAUACUAAGCAAGACAGAGUUGGGGACAGGGACAGGGAGUAACGACAUUGAGAGAGUAAGAGACAUUAAAGCACGGACAACACAUUGGCAAGUAGGUCCGAGAAAGGCAACGUGACACAGAACCUGUUAGACUAUAAGCUACAUGAAGCAGGGAGUUUUGUUUUGUUUGUUGGUUUUUUUUCAUUUGGUUGGUUUGGUUUGGUUUGGGUUUUGCACUGCUGUCUUCCCAGUGCCCAAAAUGACUAGUAGAGAGUAGAUAUUUGAUUAAUAUUUGCUGGAUGAAUGAAUGGAUAAGAUAUGACUCUUGUCCUCAAGAACUUCAUACUCUAGUAAAAGAGACAAAAACUGCACAGUAAGUGCUCCUAUAGGAGCUCCUGUAGGGAUAAACAGAGUGGGAGUAAAGGUACCAGAUCCAGUAUUGAUGUGAUUUAAGAAGGCUGGGGACUACACAGUUUGGUUUUCCCAGUUUGCCAAUGCUGUGUAGUAAGGCUGCGAGGGUGUUAAGACAAAUCGUUCUAUCUCCUGGCCAAAUGGUACCACUCAAGAAACAAACUGUUGAACAGAGUCAAACUUUUUAUUCUCAGUCAGUUUAUUACUAGUGUGUAGCUGUAAUUUAGUUUUUCUUCAUGGCUGGACAUACCUAUAGUAUGCCUAUUUCCAUUCUAUUGUGUAUCAGUAGAGUCCAAACAUACAUUUCUGUAAGUUAUUUUAUUUUAAAUUUCUGUAAAUUAUUUUAAUAUAACCUCCCUUUUUAUCACUGGUGUAGGCGUUAUUCUUUCUUUUUUUUUUUUUAAGUUUAUUUUAAUUUAUUUUGAGAGAGAGAGAGAGAGAGCAAGAGGGGGAGGGGCAGAGAGAGAGAGAGAGAGAGAGAGGCAGAAUCCCAAGCAGGCUCCCUGUGCUGCCAGCAUAGAGCUUGUCUCUGGUUUCCAACUCACAAACUGUGAGAUCAUGACCUGAUACCAGGAGUAGAAUGCUUACUUGACUGAGCCACCCAGGCACCCCAGCGUUGUUCUUUCUGAUCCAAUAUUAAAGUGAAGCAGAGAAGGAGAAGAGGAAAAGAAAAAUAGCAGUCGAGUCCCCUGGGAACAACCAAACCAGAAGGAGGGAGUCUACGGAUUACUGAGUUACUAGGGGGCCUGAUUUCUAAAAACUGCUCUAAAUACUUAAAGGGAGAUUUUCCCAUCACAAAACAAACUAGAAAUUAAAAGUAAAGUUACCAGGGCACCUGGGUGGCUGAGUCGCUUAAGUGUCUGACUUCGGCUCAGGUCUGGAUCUCACAGUUGGUGGGUUUAAGACCAACAUCGGGCUCUGCGCUGACAGCUCAGAGCCUGGAGCCUGCUUCAGACUCUGCGUCUCCCUCUCUCUGCCCCUCCCCAGUUUGCACUCUGUCUCUCUCUCUCUCAAAAGUAAAUAAACACUAAACAAACAAACAAACAAACAAACAAAUAAAUAAAUGAAAGUUAACAAGCCUUUCAUCACAUCAUUCUAACCUAAACAUGUGAGUGAGAAGUUCGAGGGUCCAGCUCCAUUGCCAGCUGUGCUUUGGACUGUAUGCUGUCAUAUAAAAUAAUUUGUGUUCUACCUUGAAAAUCCCUGGGUUGAGACCUAAAAAGAAGAAACUAUUCUUUGAGCAAGGAAAAUCAUCUCCUAAAAUGAAAGCAAAUUAUGCUGUUGAACAUGACUUUAAGGGUCCUUGUUCCCAAGAAAACACAGAAAAGCCUUUUCUAGCAGAAAUUGUCAACUACCAGAGUACCUCUGACUCUAAACAUAUUGUUGGCUCCCACAGAUUCCUACAGGAGCAAGACACAGAUGGCUUAUUAUAUUGAGAUUCUUGAAGGGCUCUCUGUAUGUUGAUGAUAUUAGCUUAUGCACAUGAAUGACAUGGCUUAAUUUGCAGAUAAUAGACAACAAGAGCAUUCAGUGGUAAAAUAGAAUGUCACGUGGACUAUUAACGUUUUUAUUAUGGAAAACGCAGAGCGGUGUGUAAAGUUUGGGGUGAAUGUGUUUACCUAUGUUUAUCUCUCCGUUAAUGGUAUGGAUGCUUUGCAACAAAGACUUGCUGAAUAUAAAUUGAGGCUGGUGGCGGUCAUACAUUAUGUAUACUAUUAAAGAGCUAAUGCCACAAAAGCCUGCAUUUCCUGGGUAACAAAACGUUUAAUAUAGAAACUACAUAAUUUCACAAGUCAACUCAAGAGGUUAAAGCUGAUGGAUAAUAAAUUGAAAAAGAGUGUUGUGAAGAAUUCAUCCUGUUUUAUUUUUCCAGUAGACAGGCAAAAUAUUCAUUUCUUUAACUUGUUAAUGCUUUAGACUAGAAUUAUUCUCUAAACAGGGUCGGUGCUGUUUCAUAGAUCCAUAAAAUUUUGCUUACGAUGCGUGUAACAUUCUUUCCUCUCAUUUGUUCAGUUCCAGCAGCAAUGCCUCUAAUGAAAAAAUUUCAAACUGAAUGUCUAACAAAAUGAUUUUGUGUUUCUCUUUUCAAGCACUGAGGAGAUCAUGCAGGAAAAGCAAAUAAAUCAUUCUCUUUUGGGGUGAAAGCAUUCAUAUUUGAUAAGUGAUUUGAAAGUAAAAUGAGAUUUUAUGUAAACAUUUUACAUUUUUUAUGGACUUAUCUUUAUUGAUAUUCUUUUCAGGAAAGAGUCAUUACUAAAAGAAAUAUGCAUGUAUCAAAAAUAUGUCUGACAUAGUACAGUUAUUGAUCACUUGUGGUAGAGAAAUAAAGAAACCUUGCAAAGUGAAUAUGAGAAAGAACCUGGUGAUAAACAGUUUCCAGGAGAGUGGCAUUAAAGACAAAACCAAAAACGUUUUGCUUUAUGUGAACAUAGGACUGUUACCUAGAAACACAAUCCAAAAAAUACAAAGGAGAAACAACAAAUUACUUGGAAAAAACAAAACCCAGAAAAUUCACUAGUAAGACUCUGUGUUCAGAAUGUCAUCUGUAUCGCCCCCUGGAUGGCUGCCAAAUCACCAGACUAGCAGUGCGGUUAUGGGAUCUAAGGCAUAAUCUUUGUUUCCCAUUCUUGCUCCACCCCUGAAAUUCUUUUCUACCACAUUUAAAACAUCAAUUGGUAAUUAGUUUAGCGUUUCCUAUGUACGUAGGGGCCCCAGGCUCUAGUGAAAUCUUCUAAAACUGUUUAUAACAUAUUCCACAGUGGAGAAAAAAACAAACUGACAAAUGACCCCCACCUUUGGCUUUACACCCUUCUGGCUGGGACCAUAUGUAAAAAAAAAAAAAAGUGAAACUAUUUUGGUGUGCCCGCUGCUGAGAACAGGAGUUGUAUAACCACCUUAGAGAAUAACCAGAGCCAGAUUGCACUUUUCAGCAUUUUGUAGGGAGGCACAGGAUUUAUAUUCAGCAUAUAAUCUUGGCAUAUAUUAAUGUAUGGUUAUUGAGUAUCUGUUCUGUACCAGGUACUAAGCUACUCUCUGUGGAGGAUACAAAGAUGAAUGGAAUUAUGUUUUCAAGAGGCUUACAAUAAGUAGGGGACCUGAAAUAUUAUACAAACAGCUAUAAUAAAGGUAGGUCCAAUAUGAAACUGUGAUAGCCUGAUAUAUUCAUACACACCUUCAAAGAAAAAUAGCUUGAAAUUGUUACUUUACAUAUACGUUAUACAUCCCGGUGUUUUAAAGACUAGAUCUGAGACCCACACUCAAAUCCAGAAACGGUCUGGAGCACAAGCUUUGCCCAAGACAGGAGUCCAAAAUUGCCAAGUGCCUCACUGACCGCUUGAUUGGGUUCACCAUCCAGAAGUUUGAAUGUGAGACAGGCGGAGAGAAUAAGUUUAUUGAUAAUGUGGCUGAAGUUGAAGAAGUAGAGAGAGAAGCUUACUAUGUCAUUGUGACGGCAGAAAAUCAGAAUAAGGAGCAAGCACUGAUGUCCUACUUGAGCAGAAGGAAUGGGGAUGGCUAUCCAAGCAGAUAGCUAGCGCUCCUUCUGAGCCUGGAGGGCCCCGAGCACGACUGUGUCUUGAAGGUGAGACUGUUCUCCAUGGAUCUCCUGUUGAGACAAUGGUUCUAUUCUGGGUGACCCGGGUGUGCCUGUUCCUUGCAUGCUGAGGAGACCCCUCCCAACACAACAAAACUUGGGAGGUUUAAAGGGUUACAUGCAUCGGCCUCGUUUUGAAGUUUUAGCCUGGACACAUAGAGGACUCACAGAUAUUGGACUGCUUAUUGAACAAGAGACAUAGGUAAAGUACAAUGAGACUUAAGAAGAGUGUAAAUUAUCCCUUGCUGAGAGAAUCAGAGACAAGCCUUCAAGACACAGUAUCAUCUGAGCAGAGCCUUGAGGUCAGUCAGAGGAUGCCUACUUGGAAGUGAAGGGAGGGACUGCUCCCUGAAAAUACUCUCUUAAAAUGGGACUUUUAAGCUGCUUUUAAAAAUUUUUUUUUAUUUGACAUUUAUUUAUUUUUGAGACAUAGAGAGACAGAGCAUGAACGGGGGAGGGUCAGAGAGAGAGGGAGACACAGAAUCGGAAACAGGCUCCAAGCUGUCAGCACAGAGCCCGAUGCGGGGCUUGAACUCACGGACUAUGAGAUCAUGACCUGAGCCGAAGUCGGUCGCCCAACCGACUGAGCCACCCAGGCACCCCUAAGCUGCUUUUAAUUUGUUUUUAAUGUUUAUUCAUUUUUGAGAGAGAGAGAGUGAGACAGAGUGUGAGCAGGGGAGGGGCAGUUAGAGAAGGAGACACAAAAUCCAAAGCAGGCUCCAGGCUCCCAGCUGGCAGCACCGAGCCUGACUUGGGCCUCAAACCCAUGAAUGGUAAGAUCAUGACCUGAGCUGCAGUCAGAUGCUUAACGGACUGAGUCACCCAGGUGCCCCGGGAGUUUUAAGCUGCUUUUAAAGUAUUCCACUGUCAUGAUACUUUUUAAAGCUAUGUUGAAAAUACAUUGGAGAGAACUUUAUGAAAAGAGCGGUUAAAGGGUUGCACCUUUUGAAGGUAUUCACUUCCCCAUAAACCCAAGGACUAGGUCUUAUACCCGGCGCUUUCCCUGAAGAGAACAAGUCUUUGCUAAUGCAUGAGGAUUAGGGAGGAUUCAGACCAGGGAGUAAGGAUGACAGGCAGCAAAGUGUUAGCGGCUGGGCAAGUAGGGAAGUCGUUUAGCCUUCAAGUCAAGCACCAAAAGAGGGAUAUUCAUGGGAAAUGAGGUUGGAAAAGUAGAUUCAGAUUUGAAUGUUAUUCUGUAGGUAUUUAUUCCGGAGGCAUUUAUGAAUUCUAAACAAGGCGGGGCAUGUCAGUGUUCUACUUCAAGAGGAUUCACCUGAAAAUAGUAGAUGAAGUGGACUGGAAGAGUCAGUGGGGGCAAGUUAGGAACCCAGUGCAAAAGCCUAGGUGAGACGGAGUGUGGAUUAUGGUCAGUGUAAAACUACAUCUACUGAACAGUGUUACUACUUAGUAUUUGUGUUAGUGUCUUGCAUUUAUGUCCAUCUUCAUUAUUUAUUUAUUACAACUCUUUACGGUAAGUCAGUACUGCAGCAAUACUACACAUCUUUCUUUAAUUUAUAGCAAUGGGAUCGCAUGCAAGGUGCAAAAUUCCACAACAGCUUGCUUCUUCCACAGCACAUAAGGAAAAAUAAUAACCAUUCUACACAUUGUUUACUAUUUUGGGUAGAGAUGUUACUGAAACCUAACCAGUCCCAAAUUCUUUCACAAAGUAGUGCUUCUCCCCCACCCCCCACUCAGAUGCUUUGAGAAUUCUCAGAUUUGAGCAAACACCCAAAAGCAAUCGACUUUUGGACGGUGAGUUUUACAGGUUAAUGUCUCAGGGCAGAACACUGAACAGGUUGGGAUUUUAUAAACGCACAUUUCACCCUGUUUAAUUCCGUGCAUUACAGCCGCCUGCAUCACACGAUCUGAGAGCAAGCUUGUGAUGAAUGGCCUUCACGUGUUCUGCUCUAGAAAUACUUGAGAAAGAUGGCCCAACAGUCUACUGAUAACGGCAUCAAAGUUCUUCUUUCUUCUUUUGCCUUAUUUUACAGGAUUUCUGGUUUUCCUUAGAAAAAGAACCAGACCAAAGUGUUCUCAGUCUUUUCCAUCUGAGACACAAAUGAUUGGAGAUAAUCACAUGCAUCAUACACAUCCACGAGAAUGAGCUGCGUUUCCAACUCAGGAAAGCAUAUGAACAUGCAUUUCAGUUUGGGAAGCAGAACUGACCAUGAAUGACGAAGUUUAAGGCCAACUCAAGUAUGAAAUACUUUAGCAUUAACUACCAAUGACUUGUGGACAUUCUUACCACUAAAUACAUCUCAACACCUUGCUUAGUUGAGAGCUGCUAGCCUAAAUGAUCCUGUCACCAUCAAGCAUUACUCAGUUUUGGUAAAGCACACUCAACACAACAUACUCCCCCUCACUAUCCACACACGUGCAUAUUCCCAGUCUUAACUAUACAUAGACCCUUAGAUUUUUCUCAUUCUUACCUCUGUUUUCUGAACUUUGAUUUUCCAAACUCUCAAUAAUUAUAUACAAUUACAUAGAAUUUGCUCUUUGAUUUUAGAUAUAAGUACAUUUGAAAAAAUUAUUUGGGAGUGGGGCACCCGGGUGGCUCAGUUGUUUGGGCAUUCGACUUUGGCUCAGGUCAUGGUCUCACAUCCAUGAGUUCGAGCCCCACGUCAGGCUCUGUGCUGACAGCUCAGAGCCUGGAGCCUGUUUCAGAUUCUGUGUCUCCCUCUCUCUGCCCCUCCCCCACUCACACUCUGUCUCUCUCUGUCUCUCAAAAAUGAAUAAAUGUUAAAAAUAUUUUUUGAUUAUUUGGGAAAGAGAGAGCAGGGCAGAAGGGCAGAGGGAGACAGAGAGAGAGAGAGAGAGAGAGAGAGAAUCCCAAGCAGGCUCCAUGCCCAGGGCAAACCCUGAUGUGGGGCUGGAUCCCACAACUCUGAAAUCAUGACCUGAGCUGGAAUCAAAAGUCAGAGGCUCAACUGACUGAGCCACCCAGGUGCCCCUUAGAUAUAAGUACAUUUAAUCACAACAAAUUUUCAUUUGCAAAACUGGAUUGGUUAUUGAGAGUUCAUUUUGUUUUAUUCAUUUUCAUCAAACUGAUUUCAGGAUAGUAGGUAUUCUAAACCAUAAGGGGAAAAUGAGAUAUAUACAAAAUAUGUUUGAAGGUAGUUUAGUACCUUCUCCCCUAUAAAAUCAAGAGAAUUUGCAUUCUUCUCUAUUAACAGAGCUCCUUAGAUAAUCCUACCAUUAACCUUUUUUUUAUGUUUUAUUUACUUUUAAGACAGAGAGAAAGAGAGAGAGAGAACAUGAGUGGGGGAGAGGCAGAGAGAGAGAGACACACACACAGAAUCCGAAGCAGGCUCCAGGCUCCGAGCUGUCAGCACAGAGCUCGACACGGGGCUUGAACUCAUGAACUGUGAGAUCAUGACCUGAGCCGAAGUUGGAUGCUCAACCAACUGAGCCACCCAGGCGCCCCUUUUAACUUUUAAAAAUACAAGCUGUGUAACAUUCUGAAACCAGAAAAAACAAUUGAGGGGAGUAUCCAUUUGUCCUUGUUUGUUGAUGUCAUAGCUCAUCUCAGGAUGGUUUUCUAGAAGUACAUAUUAAUUAUAUUUUAGUAUAUUUUCUUGGUUGGCCACAUUCUUAUCAUCUGACACAUGUCAAAGUUCAUUUUAGGAUUUCUGCAUUUUUUUUUAUUCAAAAAAUAUUUUUUUGAGGGUCUACUCUGUGUUCUGGUGAUGGGAAUUCAAUAGUGAAUAGAAAAGACCCAAAUCUUAGCUCACGUAUUGCUUAGUUUCUAGUUGGGGGAAGAUAGACUGUGAACAAAUAAAUAAGUAAAACAUAUUGUGUGACAGAUGGUGAUAAGAUCUGUGGAGAGGAGCAAUGCAGAUAAAGGAAAGAGAGAGCUCUGGAGUGAACGUUGCAAUUUUAAAUAAGGUGGCCAGGGACCUCACUGAGAAAGAGGCAUCUCAGCAAAGACCUGAAGGAAAGGAAAGAGUGAAUCAUAUGGUUACCCGAGGAGAGGAGCCGUCCAGGUAGGAGGAACACGAAGUGCAGAAGCCCUGAGGUGAGUGUGUGCUGGUCCGUCUAGGGAACAAGAAAGGAGGCAUCAAAAGAGGAGGAGCAGAUGUAAUUAAGAUCCUUAAUCACUUGACUUGGAUUAAAAGGGAAAUUACAAAGAGUGCCUAAAGCUAAGAGUGCCACAAGAAGCAGAAAUUGCAGAUGUGCUCUAACGCCUUAAAGCAAACUGCCAUGUUGUGAAGAUGGUCAUGGCAGGCUUAGCUGAGGACCUCACUACCACAACCACAACGAGUGAAUUCUGCCAACAACACUCAGUGAGCUUGGAAGAGGACCCCAGCUCCAGAUGAGCUCAUAGCCCUGGCUGAUGUCUUCACUGCAGUGUUGAGACACUGAGAAAAGGACCCAGUUAUGCUCUGCCUAGACUCUUGACUGUGAAAACUGAGAUAAUCAGUGUUUAUUAUCUGAAGAUGCUCAAUGCAGCAAUAGAAAUCAAUAUAGCUAGCAGAAAGUAUCGAGAACUUUUAAGUUAAGACAAUAGGAAUAGCAGAUAAUAAGGAGCCUCUACCCCUAGGGCUGAGACAGAGCACCCAAAGAAGAGAUGCUUUACUUGCCCCUAAACCCCACACCCUGGGCUGGGAUCUAGAAGUUGUGGGAUAGGGCAGCUGUGGUUCACUCAAAAUCAAAGAAGUUGCUGUGGUACUGCACUGGCAGAAUUUGUUGAAAAUCUGCCUUGUGGAACUUACUGGAAAUCUGCCCUCUAGGAUAAGGGUCACCAAACUACAGCCUGCAGCCUGGCCCACCACCUGUUUUUAUACAGGCUAAGAGCUAAGAAUGGUUUUUGUGUAAAUGGUUGAAAAAAGUCAAAAGAACAUUUCCUGGUGUGUGAAAGUUGCAUGAAAUAAAAAUGUGUCUAUAAGUAAUGUUUUAUUGGAGCACACACACACAAAAGAGGAGGAGGAGGAUAUACCAUUAGGAAAUUAGGGGGGCUACUCAUAGGUCAUUUUGAGGGUUUUGCCUUUGAAUGAGAUGGGAAGUUAUUGGAGGUUUUGAACAAAGAAGCAACAGGGUUUUAUUGUGACGGACCUGAACAUCAGUGGAUAAGUUUGAGGUCACUGAAUGAUGACUUCUAGACAGCCAAGGUGAUUUAUGGAGCUGGGCUAAGAUUUAGUCUGAGAAGUUUCAUAGUUUUUUGUUUUUGUUUUUGUUUCUUUGUAAAAAAAGGAAGGAAAGGAUGGGGAGAGAGGGAAGGAAGAGGAGAGGAUGGAAGAAGGAAGAGAGAGAGAAAAAAAUCAAGUAUUGUUGAGACAUUGGGAAUAGAAAUUUUCGUGGUAACAUUAUCCAUACUCCUGACGAGCUUGACACGUUCAAACAAUCUGGAAAAUAUAUACAGAUGGUUCCCAAUUUACCAUGGUUCAACUUACAGUUUUUUCUUUAUGAUGGUGAGAAAGCCAUACGCAUUCAGUAGAAACCAUACUUUGAGUUUUGAAUGUGGAUCUUUUUCUGAGUUAGUGAUACUCAGUAUGACCCUCUCUGCUGGUGCUGGGCAGUGGCAGCCACAGUUCCCAAUCAGCCACACAAUCACGAGGGUAAACAACCCGUGCACUGACAACCAUUCUGUACCUGUACAACUGUUCUGUUGUUCACUUUCUAUAUACAGUAUUCAAUAGAUUACAUGACAUAUUCAACACUUAAUUAUAGGAUAGGCUUUGUGUUAGAUGGUUUUGUCCACGUGUAGGUUAAUGGAAGGGUUCUCACGUUUAAGGUGAGCAAGGCUACGAUGGGAUAUUCGGCAGGUUAGGUGUGUUCGAUGCAUUUUCGACUUACGAUAUUUUCAAUUAAGGAUGGGUUUAUUAGGAUAUAAGUCAAGGAAGAUUUGUGGUGUGUUUCUAGCCAUAAUAAAUACAUGAUAGUUCUUUGUUUUUGCUCACAGCUUUUCUUCAAGCCAGGACAAGUCCUGCCACCCUGUCAGUUCAACUGUCUGCAAAACGCACAAAAAAUUGUAUUUGGAAACAUUUCCUUGGCAUUCUGGGAAAUUCAAUUAAGUAAUGUCUGUAAAGUACUUCAAGAUCCUGAAAGACAAAAAACUGGGAAAAAAAAAGAGUUUUCAAUUAUUGCAAGGAAGUACAUUAUUUGGGACAUCUGUUUCACCUUUAUAUAUUAUCGUAGUGAUAAUUUCUCCCCAAUACUAUUUCAAUAGAUAAUGUCUAAUAGGGACCCAAGAGAGCCUGUUCUGAGAAUGUUCUGAGAAGAAAAACAAUAAUUUUGGAAAAGCUAAUUAUUGCACUGGUUUUUAUUAACUUUGGCCCUGUUUUAACACCAAAAAAAAAAAAAAUUAACAAAAAGUUCUUUUGAAGAGCAGUUCUCAAAGUGUGGUCCUGACACCCCUGAAAGUUCCAAAACCUUUUUAGGAGGGCUGCAAGGUCAGACACAGUUAUAUAAUAAUACCAAGCUCUUAUUUUCUUUUUUCACCUUCAUUUCUGAGUGUACAGUGGAAUUUUCUAGAGGCUGUUUCAUAUCUAAACAGAUAGAAUUGGGGCGCCUGGGUGGCUCAGUCAGUUAAGUGUCCGACUUCGGCUCAGGUCAUGAUCUCGCGGUUCCUGGGUUUGAGCCCCUCAUUGGGCUCUGUGCUGACAGCUCAGAGCCUGGAGCCUGCUUCCAAUUCUGUGUCUCCCCCUCUCUCUGCCCCUCCCCUGCUUGUGCUCUCUCUCUGCCUCUCAAAAAAUGAAUAAAUGUUAAAAAAAUUUUUUUAAAUAAGUAAACAGAAUUCAGGAGCAGAUAUGAGAAUCUAGCUUCUUGUAUAAAGCAGACGUUAAAGAGAUUUGCAAAGAUGUUAAAACAAUGCUAUUCUUCUCACUACUUUUAAAUGUGUAGCUAUUUUUAUAAAAAUGUUAUUUGUGCAAACAUGCAAUGAGUUUAUUACUGUUAUUUGAAAUGAAUGAAUACAGAACUCCAUAAUUUUUAAGUGUGCGAAAGGAUCCUGAAAUCAAAAAGUCUGAGAACCACUGUUUUGAAUGUGAGUGCUAAGACAGCAGAAGUUUUUUGUUUUGUGCAUCAUGCACCGAGUAUCCCAGAGUUCCUGGUAUGUAGUAAGUGCUCAACAAAUAUUCGUUGACUGAAUAUAUGAAUGAAUGAAUGGUUACUAACAUGUCAGAUGAAUAUGGGCUUUUUAAGGCCCUGAAACAAACAGUAAUUUUGGGGUUGUUGAGGAUUGAACAUACAUUAGGAUGGACUUAUUUUAUGCACCCGUUAGAAUUAUUUGUGACAAGAAUUCUGAAUAAAGUGAAGUAAUCAUUUAUAUUUCCAUCUGCAGCCUCUCCAUGCAUUUACAGACCCCUGAUAUAAGAAAUAAUCACCUUUGCAGUGAAAACCAAGAAACUCUUCUGGGUCUUCAGCAUCUGAAUGGCUGGUCCUCGUAUAUUUUUGUACAUUCACAAACUCCUGUAUCUUAGCUUUCACUGGACGUCUGACAAGGCAAAUCAUCUUCGUUUGACAAAGAAGAAUCUGCCAAAAAGAGGACUUGCUUCUUUCAAGUGAGGACAUAUGGAUACUAAAUUAGAUGGUCCCAAAGGGUUAAUGCUCCUAGACUCUAGAAUUAAUGUUACAACAUACCUAAUAAUUGUGAUUAAAGAGAAAAGACAGAAACUAGGAAAUUCAGGCCUGUAAUUAAUAGGUAGUCCAAUGAGCACCUCCUUCGAGAACUACAGGAAAGCAAUUAAAAAACCUAAUAUGACUUUUAAUAUUCUUAAAAACAAAACAAGAUUAAAUAAAGUACUAUUGCAUUAGGCAGAUAGAAACAAAAGCAAGAGACUUAAAUUGAUUUGCAAAGACCUCACUUAGAGGGGGUUAUUAGUUCUAUUAUUUUCUUUAGGGCAGCUUAUCAGCAAAUCUUGAUUAAGUAACUACUAUAUGCUAAACUCUCCCUGGCUCAUAAAAUCUGAGAAUUCAGUGGUCCCUGGCUCAUAAAAUUUAUAUUUCCACAAAGGAAGAGACAAGCAAACAAAUAAACAACCACGGUAAUUCCAGAUAUGAUGAGUGCUUAAGUAAAAGAAUGAAACAGGCCAUUGUGUUAAAGGACGAUUAUUUGAAGGGUAAGAAGUGAGGGAAUAGGGUAGGGAGCGCUGAUGUAGACUGGGUGUUGGGGGAUCCUCACUCAAGUGGCGGUAUUAAGCAGACACCUGAAAGGCAGGGAGAGGCUUGGUGGCAGGAGCAUGCAAGUGUAAAACCCCAAAGAGGUUAGAAGAAAAAGGUGGCUACUGCAGUUGGAACCAGAAAGGAGACGAGUCCUACAUGGUGUGUUCAGAGGCCCAUAAAAACCCCGUCAUUAAAUAGCUUGAGGAAGUUUGAAUUUUAUUUUUGAGUGCAAUGAAAAGCCUUGGAAGAGCUUGAUCUAAUCACCAGACUCAAUUAGCAUUUUGAAAAGAAUCAGUGUGGCUGCCUCAAGGGAACUGGAUUGUAGAGGAGCAAGCAUAGAAGCAAGGACACCCGUUGGAGAUGACUGUUCCUGUGGGACAGGGACGAUGGAUGGUGGUUUGGACUGCAGUGGUAGCAGUGAGGAAGAGGGCAGGAGGACAGAUACGGGUUGAUGUGUUUUUUGUUUGAAAUUGUGCAUAAAACUCGUCUGGCUCAUGUGAGGAGUUUAACAAAUGGUAGCUGUUACGUCACUGGUCUAUUCUUAAGCAAGAAGCUUGCAGAGAUUAAGGAAUUUGUUCUAAUUUACAGGAUUAGCAAAUUCAGCCAGUGCACUGUUCCCACUGUCACUGGAUACUGUCACACCAUUCACAAAACAUCUUACCUGAGGUCUUUUUCCUUCCAAUCUUUUCUGCAUUUAGCUGCCAUUCUGAUCUUCCUCAGACAUUGCUUUCAUCGUGUUUAUUUUGCUGAUAAGCACAUUAUAUGUAUUCAUGCAGUAAUGGAGUAAUUGCAUCAAACUAGGCUUGCAUGGGUGGGUGGGGUUCACACACCUAAGACAGGGUUUUUGCCUCUGGGAUUUUAGAAUUUACGUGGGGAGAUGUGAUUAGCUUAUACAAAAUAAUAUAUAGAGAGAGAUCAAAAAGAGAUGGCAUAAUUAACAGCUUUCUUCUAGAUCUGGAAGAGAGAAUUUCAGUAAUGAGAGAGGCAAAAAGAUGCUAGGUAAAAAGAGAAGCAAAAACAACAUCCUGGGUUUGUGGCAUAGAGGGGAUACACUUGACAGGAGAGCAUCUGCUCUGGGAAGGUGGAAGACAAAGUCACAGGGCAGGAUGGUGUCAGUCUGUGCACGUUGUGAGCAAAAGCUGGGCAUCAAGGGUUUGGACCUGAUUCAGCUACAUAUAAAGCAUUAUUGAAGAUGUGAAAGCAAGAUUUGGUCAUAGUGAAGGCUUUGCUGGGACUAGUGAUCAUUUCUCCUUCUAAUUUCUAAGGUAAUUAUCAUCAUCUUUAGGUACUCAUUAGGUACUUAGCUUGGAACUCUUUGCACUUUAAAACUAUAUAAUGUGAAUGACUGCAGCCUAUAUGGAGUAGGUACCAAGUAAAUGUUUGAUGAUGAUGAUGAUGAAAGACAUGUGCAAGGAAGAUUAAUUUGGCAACAGCAUAUGGCCUGAAUUGAAAAGAAGAAAGCCAAGAGGAAAAUCACAAGGAAGUUGUUCCAGGAAAUGUAAGCAUGAAGGAAAGGAUGUGGAAGAGACAUAUAUGAGCAAAUACUUAGGAAGUAUCAUUAAAAGGAGCUGAAGCAGUUUGAAUGUGGAGUGGGUUAAAAAUUAGUGUAAGUUUUUAAAUCUAAGUGUUUCAAAGGGCCACAAUGCUGCUCAGGUAAGAUGGAAAAAUUGGGAGAGGGAGUUGAUUUGGGGAAAUAAGUUGAUUUGGGGAAAUCGGCAUCCAAGAUGAGAGGACAUUCAUUUAGAAAUGGCCUAGAAUUUGGCUAGAUGAGAAGGAAGUGACUAUGUAGAAAUGGGGCUGAAGUUUUGUUAUAAUUUUGUUCACUUCAACAAAUAUUUAUAGAAGCCCUACUAUGUGCUAAGGGCUAUGGGAUACAGGGUCAAAUGAGGUAGAGACUUUGAGAAUUUAACAACCUAAUGGGGGGAAACAUAUGCAAAAAGGGAAUAUAAAGUCUAAUGAAGUAAGUGUCCAGAGGAGAUUAUAUGCAGAGAAAGUGAGUUAAAUAGAACUUAUCAUUGGUACAAACUUCCCACGAAAGACAACUGAUGGAGAGUCCAUGAAAGCACCCAUAGGUAGCUCCUUCUGCUUAAUUCUUCCUGCUCUAUGACCUGCUACUCUGGCCACAGUUGUCUGGACUCGGGAUUGGCCCCCAAAUGAAGGCAAUCACCUCUAAGCCAGGCAUAAAGAAGACCAGCCACCAGUUAGGUGGCCCAUCAGGAAAAUUGUGCCCCAUAAAAGACUUUCUUAUUGAAUAGUGAAUGACAGAUACAUUUAGAUCUUCUCACUUGGGAUGUUGUAAAUGUAAGUCACAGAGAGUAGUCACUAGAAGCAGAGAUAGCAGCUGAAGUUGAGACUGUAUAUGAGGAAGAAGCAGAGAGAUGCUGAUUCAGGAGAAUGGCAAAAUUAACCAGAGUGUGGGCAAUAGAUGCUUGUUAAUGAGAGGAUGAGCGAGGCACCAGAGCCUGUUGCUGGAUCAUAAAAACAGCAGUUAAUUUCUGGAAUCAACACUAGUUCUGACGGUUGAUACGGUUUUCUGAAGUUUCCUUAUUUCCUAAAUAAACCCUCAGCAUUUGUAGGGCUCUGACUCUGAACAUGUCCUGGUACUUUAUGUCUCACACAAGAGCCCAGCUAGCACAAAGGAAUUCCUGUUGUUUUGGCUUUGAUUAUAUCUACAGAAGAAGGAUCUUGUGAAGGAUAGGCCAGAAUGAUCUUCAUAAAGCAAGAUAAAAGGAUGCACACAAGGGUCUGAAUGUAUGUGGCUGCUUUCCCAGAAGAGUGCAACAGUGGAGGGUAAAAACCUCAGUUACCUCUUAGAGCAAGCCCGGAAUCCCCAAGUUUAUACUUUUUGCAAUUUCUUCUCUCUUUUCCUGUCAUGAUCACCGUGUAGGUUUGUGUGCUUGUCUUGGGGGAGAGCAAAGAAAAGGAAAGGAAAAGGAGAGCCAUGGAGACUAUUCAAUGCAGCCACCAAGCUUUGGAAGAAAACCCCUGAAGACAGUACAAAGUGCGGCCACCACAAGCAAUGUGAGUGUCUAGAUCAGGGUUUUUCAGUGUACACACUGCUAACCACCAGUUUAGGAUCAUCUGAUUUAUUAAAAAUGAAGAUUUCUAGAUUACCUUGGACCAACCGAAUGGAAUCUCUGGG